GUCUAGAUACAUCAUUAAGAAUGCUCUCGCUCAGAUAUGGACUUUAUCCUGUCUAUGCUAUUAUUGUUAAUGUUUUCCUAUUAUCAUCAUUAUCUCUUUUUAAUUACAGGCAUAGAUGGAAAUGUAAAUCAUCUCUACUCUGACCUAAUGAAGGAGCAAUUGCAUUUUCUUUCCUGUACUGGGAGAGGAUACAGAUGAAGCAGACUCCCCAAGCCACGGGCCUGAGCACAAGGCUUUUCAUGCCACCUGCCCUUCCAUGUUACUCCUCUUGGUGUUUUCCUCAUCAGUGUCACUGGAAGAUGACUGAAGGUGCUUGGUUUUAGAGCUGAUCCACUACACCAAGCGUUAUUCCCCUGGCAGUUUGUCUCGUAGAUGUUUGCUAUUUGUCUACCUCUGUUCCAUCUGCACUGGUGAACUUUUUCGAAACAGGAAAACCAUUUCCUCCGCUGGAUGCAUCAUGCAACUCUGUCUCACCGAGUUAUCCUGGCAUGGAGUCUGCCCUGCUGGCUGUCAAGGCUUAUGCUGAUUUUGUAGCUCUCUGCUGGUGUUUAUGCUACUUAUGCAUCACGAACAACAGGAUGGCUAGUUUGCAGUGGAAACAAUUCCUGUGGCUGGUUGGUGUGGUGAAUUCCUUGCUGAAUCAGGUACACCAAGCAAGAGUCCCACGCCGAAUUUCCUGCAGACUAAGGAAGGCUGCACUGAGGGAGCACACCUAGAAAACCUUGCUGUUCUUCUCCUCUUGCUAUUUCACUUGUAUUUUGGGGCAUUUCCUAAUGUUUGCUGAGUGAGGCUUCCUUCUGUGGCCCCCUGCACACCUAACCCUCCUGCAGUGCAAACAGAAAGAAAAGGCUGUGCUCUAUCACAUCAGUUGAGACCAGGAAAGGCAGUGUAGCUGAAGGGAUAAGGAGACUUUUGUCUGAGUGUGCCCAAUCUGUGACUUGGUUGGCCCCUCUCUUAUUUUAACCUCUAGGUCCUGAAGUUAAAAGUGGAGCCUGGGAUCCCUGAGUUUUAUCAUUUUUCUGUAGCAGAUACUUUGCCAUUUGGUUACAAACUAUGAGUCGAGGCCCUCUCUCCUCGCCAAGCUCCAUAAAAGAUAAUUACUCCUGGAGUUCAAGUGGUGGCAUGUCUUGCAAGAGAUCUGGAAGCCUAGUAUGCAACCUCUCAGAUAGACAUUGUAAUCGUGCCUGUGAUUACCCUCCUCCUUUUUUGUUCCCAGCAAUUUAAGACGUUCACGCAUUGAAAACUUGCUGGAAAAAAUAAAAUCUCUUUCAAAAAUGUGCUCAUUGAGACCACACUACCUGUAUUCUGGUUGCGGGUCAUUAGUUAAGCGUGUGGACUGGUGAAAUCAUGGGUGUGGGGUCCUGAACACGGAGAAGUCUGCUUACAGCGUGAUGGUAGCUCGAUGAGGUGUGGCUGUAUGUCCGCACCACACAAAGGUCGGAACAAGGGACACUUCUCGUCAGGGAAUAAUGUUUCCCUUGUUUAGAGCCCAUACGUUUUCUUUUAAACAUUGAUUCUGCUUUGUCUCUGGUGAUAUCUCCCGCAGAUAGAUGUUGGCCUCUGUGCUUGGCCUAAAUUCUGUUGUACUUACCUCAUUACUCCCCUAAUGACGAGCUGACAAAUGCUCUUGCUUGAUUUACUGGCGAUGUUACAGGUGUUUGGAACACUUGUCAGUGCUGUGCUACUACAUGCCUAAUUUUUCAAAUGGCGAGGUGUGCUAGCUUCUCUUGUGGAGUGAGUGGCCACAUGAAUUCA
RNAcentral lists this long non-coding RNA (1755 nucleotides) under Anas zonorhyncha (Eastern spot-billed duck). RNAcentral describes it as "lncRNA (ENSAZOG00000006761.1)". Lineage: Eukaryota; Metazoa; Chordata; Aves; Anseriformes; Anatidae. The record is from RNAcentral.